UGGUAGUGUAUUGGACUACCACGGCGAUGACGGGUAACGGAGAAUUAGGGUUCGAUUCCGGAGAGGGAGCCUGAGAAAUGGCUACCACAUCUAAGGAAGGCAGCAGGCGCGCAAAUCACCCAAUCCUAAUUCAGGGAGGUAGUGACAAGAAAUAACAACUCGGGGCUAUGUCUCGAGAUUGGAAUGAGAACAAUGUAAAAGCCUUAACGAGGACCCACUGGAGGGCAAGUCUGGUGCCAGCAGCCGCGGUAAUUCCAGCUCCAGUAGCGUAUAUUAAAGUUGUUGCAGUUAAAAAGCUCGUAGUUGAACUUCUGUGGCGUGGCUGCGUGCGGCAACGUGCGCGGCCUGGCCACAUCCUCCUGAGGAGCUCGCUCUCAUUCACUUGUGGGCGAGUGUUCAGGUACUUUACCUUGAGAAAAUUAGAGUGUUCCAGGCAGGCGCAGCCUGAAUAGUGCAGCAUGGAAUAAUGCAAGAGGACUUAGCUCCAGUUGUUGGUGUAUGGCGCUGAGUAAUGAUUAACAGGGAUAGUUGGGGGCAUUCGUAUUUAAUUGUCAGAGGUGAAAUUCUUGGAUUUAUUAAAGACAAACCUGUGCGAAAGCAUUUGCCAAGGAUGUUUUCAUUAAUCAAGAACGAAAGUUAGGGGAUCAAAGACGAUUAGA
Molecule: ribosomal RNA, 659 nt
Filed under: uncultured ciliate
Lineage: Eukaryota; Ciliophora
Description: SSU rRNA
Rfam family: Eukaryotic small subunit ribosomal RNA
Source: RNAcentral